CCAAAUAGAGGUGAAUUUUUGUUAAUAAUUUUAUUGGAGUCUCCUUCUUCUAUAAGUUUAAAUCUAGCUAAAUAUAUAGACUUUUUUUAGUGUAUAUAAAAUUAUAAAAUUAAUUAAAAGACAUUUAGUACAAAAAAUUUUUUUAAUAGCCAAACUAACUAAAGUAAAUAAAUGAUCUAUUAGGUGCCAGCAUUCGCGGUUACACCUAUAUUUAAUAUAUAAACCAUGGUCCAGGAUCCUUUAACUAUAAUUAAAAACCUUAGAAGUAAAAUUCUGCUUGUUUUUAAAAUGUAUCACCAUACCUUAAAAAUUAAAUAAUAAACAGGGAUUAGAUACCCCUUUAUAUAAAAUAGAAUAUAACAUAGGGUAGUAAAUGUUAUAUAACCCCAAACCCAAAGAUUUUGGCGGCAACCAACCUUUCCAGAGAGACCUGUUUAUUUAUUUGACAAUCCACAUUAAAUCUUACUUUGACUAAAACUUGCAUACCGUCAUCUAAAUUUUAUCUUAAGAUAAAUAUUUCAAAGAUAACAAAAAUGUUAGAUCAACGCGCAGUAUAUAUAAAAGCUCUUAAUGGGUCUCAAUUUAAAUUAAAUAGAAGAAAACCUAACAACUUUUAGAAAGAGGAUUUGGAUGUAAUAAUUCUUUAAAAUAAUAUUAUGAUUAAGCCAUUGAUUGUGUACAUAUCGCCCGUCGCCCUCGACCCGAGGUAAGUCGUAACAUAGUAGAAGUACUAGAAAGUGUUUCUUUAUUUAU
This 753-nucleotide ribosomal RNA is filed under the name Proasellus aragonensis. RNAcentral describes it as "12S ribosomal RNA". The record is from RNAcentral. Lineage: Eukaryota; Metazoa; Arthropoda; Malacostraca; Isopoda; Asellidae.